This is a long non-coding RNA of Sinocyclocheilus anshuiensis, 86 nucleotides long. RefSeq lists it as uncharacterized. Lineage: Eukaryota; Metazoa; Chordata; Actinopteri; Cypriniformes; Cyprinidae. The record is from RefSeq and is a predicted model, not a curated record. The transcript has 3 exons.
GCAUAAAAACAAUGCCAGCAAAAAUACAAGUUGUUAUCAAGGCCAAAGAAGGCCAUACAAAAUAGUAAUAAAACAGACUAUAUAAG